UACGUAGGGUGCGAGCGUUGUCCGGAAUUAUUGGGCGUAAAGGGCUCGUAGGCGGUCUGUCGCGUCGAAAGUGAAAACUCAGGGCUUAACCCUGAGCCUGCUUCCGAUACGGGCAGACUAGAGGUAUGCAGGGGAGGACGGAAUUCCUGGUGUAGCGGUGGAAUGCGCAGAUAUCAGGAGGAACACCGGUGGCGAAGGCGGUUCUCUGGGCAUUACCUGACGCUGAGGAGCGAAAGUGUGGGGAGCGAACAGG
Molecule: ribosomal RNA, 253 nt
Filed under: uncultured bacterium
Lineage: Bacteria
Description: partial 16S ribosomal RNA
Rfam family: Bacterial small subunit ribosomal RNA
Source: RNAcentral